CAAACUGUUUCCCGUUUCUCAAGGUGAUCGCCAUAACUUGUUCUUUUGGAUUUGUCUCUGUGUUACUUGGCAGAGUACUUUGAGUUCUUCCAUUAAUCAUGCUUGCUAAUUGAUCCAUAUGGAUCUCCAAGUUUUUGAUCGAUACUUGUAGGUUUUACAACAUUAGUUGUUGAUUCUAAAUGGUUGCUUUAGUCUUUAUUGCAAAUUCUAUUGUGUUCUUA
This 221-nucleotide long non-coding RNA is filed under the name Carica papaya (papaya). RNAcentral's name for it is "long non-coding RNA (CPAP_LNC001179)". The record is from RNAcentral. Lineage: Eukaryota; Viridiplantae; Streptophyta; Magnoliopsida; Brassicales; Caricaceae.